This 881-nucleotide long non-coding RNA is filed under the name Marmota monax (woodchuck). The record is from RNAcentral. Lineage: Eukaryota; Metazoa; Chordata; Mammalia; Rodentia; Sciuridae.
AAAAUAUUCAGGGAUAAAACUUUUUCUAAGGCACUUGUUUUCCUAAGAAUACUCAGAUUAAGGUUAUUUAGUUUUGUUUAACCCAGUGUUUCCUAGCAAUCUUUACUAUAGGACUUCUUGGUAUCUUUAAUAUGCUAGUAUGCAUUGUGGAUUUCCAGGAAGAAAGAUAUUCUAUGGCUUAUUUGUGUCCCAAAUUAGGACUAUGGGAUAAGUCCCCCACCCACAGGAUUGUUCAGUUAGCUUCUGAGGGUGGCCAUGAAACAGCCAUUUGGGAAUCUUAUAGCUUAUAGUUGUUACCUAUUUCCAAUUUAGUUUGGUAGUGGCUUACUGAAAUUGGUUAUUUUCAUUGUAUCUCAAUCUAAUUUAGAGUAUAUUCCUCUUUAUUGUUUUAGUAAUUAGUUUCCCCAAAUCCCUGACUACACAGUAUUCUACCAUGUUCAAGAACAACUGCCCUUGCCAAGCAGAGUGAUUCAUGCCAGUAAUCCCAGCAACUCUGGAGGCUGAGGAGGGAGGAUCACAAGGUCAAUUCAGCAAUUUAGCAAGGCCCUAAGCAAUUUAGCAGGAUCCCAUUUCAAAAUUAAAAAUAAAAAGGGCUGGGAAUAUGACUCAGUGGUAAUGUACCCCUGAGUUCAAUCUCCAGUACCAACAACUGCCUAGGAUUUUAGGCUAAGCAAAGGAGCAAAUACUAUGGACAUUUGUUGUUGCUUCAAAACUACCUUCCUUGUCAAAGGUAAGACUUCCAAAAAAGAGGGCUGAGAUUGUGGUUCAGUGGUAGAGCGCUCACCUAGCACGUGUGGGGUGCUGGGUUCGAUCCUCAGCACCACAUAAAAAUACAUAAAUAAAAUAAAGGUAUUGUGUCCAACUAUAACUAAAAAAGAAUA